AUUUGCAUGAUGAUCAAGAAUUUAAUCAAACCAAUCAUUUACAGAGAAAUUAACAUUGAUGAGAGUUAAUAAUGACAUUUGAUUAAUCGUACUUGUGAGUGAGCUUCGAAAUGAGUAGAAGCAAACGUCGGCGGCGUUAACGCGGAAGUCAUUGACUUUAUGAGCUAGCAUUCGUGAGGGUGUUAGGAAGUGAGGUGGUACCGCGAAUACAUCGUCCUCUAU
RNAcentral lists this non-coding RNA (222 nucleotides) under Apilactobacillus kunkeei. Its description in RNAcentral is "T-box". It matches the Rfam family "T-box leader". Rfam says of the family: Uncharged tRNA acts as the effector for transcription antitermination of genes in the T-box leader family. T-boxes are found upstream of many aminoacyl-tRNA synthetase genes and some amino acid biosynthetic genes usually in Gram-positive bacteria. The record is from RNAcentral. Lineage: Bacteria; Bacillati; Bacillota; Bacilli; Lactobacillales; Lactobacillaceae.